Molecule: long non-coding RNA, 283 nt
Organism: Dermochelys coriacea (leatherback sea turtle)
Lineage: Eukaryota; Metazoa; Chordata; Testudines; Dermochelyidae
Exons: 3
Source: RefSeq, a predicted model, not a curated record
AGAUCCUGAAAACACAAAAGGAAGUAUUCAGUUUUCACAGCAAACACCCAAGAGGGAACCCUAAAGGUUGUCUGGGAAAGUGAACAUGAGCUCCUGCCUCACACCAGAUGGAAUCAAAGAAUAAGAAGAGACAGAUGGACCUUGUAAAUCAUGUUGAGAUCUGUGAACAUUCGAAUUGAACACAGUGUUGUCUCCAUAUCAGAAAGCUCAAAGUCACUGAAGUAGAAGUCAGUCAGCUUGAGAGAUUGCGCAGAUGGCACAACAGCCGUCUUGGGAAAAAUAA